AUGGGAGAGAGGCAGGCGCUCGCGCAGCAGCUGGAGCACAAGCACAGGGAUGUGAGGUCUGCGUUUUUGUGGCAAUUGAUGAUGGGCUGUAUGACAUUGGAAUGAAUCAAAGCGGCAAGUCGGUCUCUCAUUGGCUUCUUUCCUUAGGAGUUUUCAACUGGCUCCACUUUUAGAUGCCGAAUUGCUCGCGCCGCAUCUGUGAGGAACAAUGAUGUUGAAUAUUUGCAGCAACAGCAGUGGCA
RNAcentral lists this long non-coding RNA (242 nucleotides) under Dunaliella salina. RNAcentral describes it as "long non-coding RNA (DSAL_LNC000511)". The record is from RNAcentral. Lineage: Eukaryota; Viridiplantae; Chlorophyta; Chlorophyceae; Chlamydomonadales; Dunaliellaceae.